UGUUUCGGCUAGGGGGCCAUCCCGGCUUACCAACCCGAUGCAAACUGCGAAUACCGGAGAAUGUUAUCACGGGAGACACACGGCGGGUGCUAACGUCCGUCGUGAAGAGGGAAACAACCCAGACCGCCAGCUAAGGUCCCAAAGUCAUGGUUAAGUGGGAAACGAUGUGGGAAGGCCCAGACAGCCAGGAUGUUGGCUUAGAAGCAGCCAUCAUUUAAAGAAAGCGUAAUAGCUCACUGGUCGAGUCGGCCUGCGCGGAAGAUGUAACGGGGCUAAACCAUGCACCGAAGCUGCGGCAGCGACGCUGAUGCGUUGUUGGGUAGGGGAGCGUUCUGUAAGCCUGCGAAGGUGGCCUGUGAGGGUUGCUGGAGGUAUCAGAAGUGCGAAUGCUGACAUAAGUAACGAUAAAGCGGGUGAAAAGCCCGCUCGCCGGAAGACCAAGGGUUCCUGUCCAACGUUAAUCGGGGCAGGGUGAGUCGACCCCUAAGGCGAGGCCGAAAGGCGUAGUCGAUGGGAAACGGGUUAAUAUUCCCGUACUUGGUGUUACUGCGAAGGGGGGACGGAGAAGGCUAUGUUGGCCGGGCGACGGUUGUCCCGGUUUAAGCGUGUAGGCUGGUUUUCCAGGCAAAUCCGGAAAAUCAAGGCUGAGGCGUAACGACGAGGCACUACGGUGCUGAAGCAACAAAUGCCCUGCUUCCAGGAAAAGCCUCUAAGCAUCAGGUAACAUCAAAUCGUACCCCAAACCGACACAGGUGGUCAGGUAGAGAAUACCAAGGCGCUUGAGAGAACUCGGGUGAAGGAACUAGGCAAAAUGGUGCCGUAACUUCGGGAGAAGGCACGCUGACACGUAGGUGAAGUGAUUUACUCAUGGAGCUGAAGUCAGUCGAAGAUACCAGCUGGCUGCAACUGUUUAUUAAAAACACAGCACUGUGCAAACACGAAAGUGGACGUAUACGGUGUGACGCCUGCCCGGUGCCGGAAGGUUAAUUGAUGGGGUCAGCGCAAGCGAAGCUCCUGAUCGAAGCCCCGGUAAACGGCGGCCGUAACUAUAACGGUCCUAAGGUAGCGAAAUUCCUUGUCGGGUAAGUUCCGACCUGCACGAAUGGCGUAAUGAUGGCCAGGCUGUCUCCACCCGAGACUCAGUGAAAUUGAACUCGCUGUGAAGAUGCAGUGUACCCGCGGCAAGACGGAAAGACCCCGUGAACCUUUACUAUAGCUUGACACUGAACAUUGAGCCUUGAUGUGUAGGAUAGGUGGGAGGCUUUGAAGUGUGGACGCCAGUCUGCAUGGAGCCGACCUUGAAAUACCACCCUUUAAUGUUUGAUGUUCUAACGUGGACCCGUGAUCCGGGUUGCGGACAGUGUCUGGUGGGUAGUUUGACUGGGGCGGUCUCCUCCUAAAGAGUAACGGAGGAGCACGAAGGUUGGCUAAUCCUGGUCGGACAUCAGGAGGUUAGUGCAAUGGCAUAAGCCAGCUUGACUGCGAGCGUGACGGCGCGAGCAGGUGCGAAAGCAGGUCAUAGUGAUCCGGUGGUUCUGAAUGGAAGGGCCAUCGCUCAACGGAUAAAAGGUACUCCGGGGAUAACAGGCUGAUACCGCCCAAGAGUUCAUAUCGACGGCGGUGUUUGGCACCUCGAUGUCGGCUCAUCACAUCCUGGGGCUGAAGUAGGUCCCAAGGGUAUGGCUGUUCGCCAUUUAAAGUGGUACGCGAGCUGGGUUUAGAACGUCGUGAGACAGUUCGGUCCCUAUCUGCCGUGGGCGCUGGAGAACUGAGGGGGGCUGCUCCUAGUACGAGAGGACCGGAGUGGACGCAUCACUGGUGUUCGGGUUGUCAUGCCAAUGGCACUGCCCGGUAGCUAAAUGCGGAAGAGAUAAGUGCUGAAAGCAUCUAAGCACGAAACUUGCCCCGA
Molecule: ribosomal RNA, 1909 nt
Filed under: Salmonella enterica
Lineage: Bacteria; Pseudomonadati; Pseudomonadota; Gammaproteobacteria; Enterobacterales; Enterobacteriaceae
Also listed under: 1 other name
Description: partial 23S ribosomal RNA
Rfam family: Bacterial large subunit ribosomal RNA
Source: RNAcentral